UACGGAGGGUGCGAGCGUUACUCGGAAUUACUGGGCGUAAAGCGUGCGCAGGCGGUUUGUUAAGCGAGAUGUGAAAGCCCCGGGCUCAACCUGGGAACCGCAUUUCGAACUGGCAAACUAGAGUCUUGUAGAGGGGGGUAGAAUUCCAGGUGUAGCGGUGAAAUGCGUAGAGAUCUGGAGGAAUACCGGUGGCGAAGGCGGCCCCCUGGACAAAGACUGACGCUCAGGCACGAAAGCGUGGGGAGCAAACAGG
Molecule: ribosomal RNA, 253 nt
Filed under: uncultured microorganism
Description: partial 16S ribosomal RNA
Rfam family: Bacterial small subunit ribosomal RNA
Source: RNAcentral